RNAcentral lists this unclassified non-coding RNA (169 nucleotides) under uncultured Basidiomycota. Its description in RNAcentral is "sequence contains ITS1". The record is from RNAcentral. Lineage: Eukaryota; Fungi; Basidiomycota.
UUGAUUGUAAUCGUUGCCUUCAGUGCUGGCCGGCUCCGGCAAGUGCACGCUGGUGACUUCAAUCCAAUACCCUGUGCACUCUUGGCCUCUUGCUGGCUUCGGCUGGUGGAGGAUAUUACACUGACUCGAAUGUAAUGAAAUUAUUAUUGUGCGAAAGCACGAAUAUGUA